CAACUCUGUAGUCUAGUCCUGAUCACUCAUUCACAAUGCAGAAACAGACAGAUUUUUCUAGCUUUUCGGUUGCAGCUAGCAAUAAACGGACCAAUCCAUUAUGGAAAAAAGAAAAGGGGAUGCCUAUUGCUUAAGGAUGAAGGCAAUUUUUCUACUAUUUCUUUUCCUAUCUAAUGAAAAUAAGUGAAUCAGGAAAGUCAAGGGUGUGUGUGAGAGAGUGAGCAGAGAAAUAACCUCUACACAGUUGGCAAGAAAAGAAAAGAGAAUGGAACAGAAAUCCUGGGUGUGUCAUGUAACUGACAAAAGUAAAGUAGUACAACCUGCAGAUGUGCAAUCACUUGCCAGAAAUGAUGUUAGCAGAUGCAAUCUUUUCAAAACAAACAUAUUAAUGGACUGAUUUUAAAGAGCACUACCAAGAAAUCUGAAACUUGAAGAAAAUGGAUAUACACCUAUAUGUUGUAAUAAAACCAUGCUUCUUGCCUAAUUCUGGGUGUUGGCUUCUACCCUGCUUUUUUGUGUAACUUUAUGAACAUUUUAUGACAUAAUCAGAUCCUAGUUGCUGAAAGUAAACUGCACAGGAAAUUAAUGGCAGAGCCUUCCAAAUUUCAUGGGAUAAAACAACUGAUUUAUGUCAGGAAAAGGAACCUCUAGGCCCAAAUUCAGAAACCAGCUGCAAAGCAAAAGCACUGAUCUCAACUAGGAAUAUAACAUCAUAUUUGCUUCCAACAACUGUUGUGCCCUUUAAAAAAAAUUAUGGAAGAGAGCAGUUAGUGAAGAAUAACUGACGUUUCUGAUAGGGAUGCCCUAAGUUACAGACUUGCAUCUCUGUUGUGUUCCUUCCAAGGAGUAUCUAUGCCAAUAGAACAGCACAGUAAAUAAUAAUAUGAUAAAUUUCCGCUCUGCAUUUCAGGCCACAAAGAGACCAAGACUAAUAAAAAUUGUUGCCAGGUAAUGUUUUGGAGUUAAUUCUUGAGACAGAGAGAUGUGUGUGUGUGUCUGUGUAUGGGUGUGCCUUUGUUAAAAGCCUUUCAAUUUUCAACCAGUGAGCAAACUGGAUAGCUUCCAAGAUGAUCCAACCUUUGGAUUACGACAAUGACUCAGUGUUCUUUCUAAAAGGACGGGGGGGAAAAACCCCUGAAUUU
Molecule: long non-coding RNA, 1142 nt
Organism: Ahaetulla prasina
Lineage: Eukaryota; Metazoa; Chordata; Lepidosauria; Squamata; Colubridae
Exons: 3
Source: RefSeq, a predicted model, not a curated record